CCUACGGGAGACUGCAGUGAGGAAUAUUGGUCAAUGGGCGGAAGCCUGAACCAGCCAAGUAGCGUGAGGGAUGAAGGUACAGAGUAUCGUAAACCUCUUUUGUCAGGGAACAAAGGCGGGGACGUGUCCCCGGAUGAGUGUACCUGAAGAAAAAGCAUCGGCUAACUCCGUGCCAGCAGCCGCGGUAAUACGGAGGAUGCGAGCGUUAUCCGGAUUUAUUGGGUUUAAAGGGUGCGCAGGCGGUCUGUUAAGUCAGCGGUCAAAGCCCGGGGCUCAACCCCGGCCCGCCGUUGAAACUGGCAGUCUCGAGUUGGAGAGAAGUAUGCGGAAUGCGCGGUGUAGCGGUGAAAUGCAUAGAUAUCGCGCAGAACUCCGAUUGCGAAGGCAGCAUGCCGGCUCCACACUGACGCUGAGGCACGAAAGCGUGGGUAUCGAACAGGAUUAGAUACCCCAGUAGUC
Molecule: ribosomal RNA, 459 nt
Filed under: uncultured bacterium
Lineage: Bacteria
Description: partial 16S ribosomal RNA
Rfam family: Bacterial small subunit ribosomal RNA
Source: RNAcentral